GCCGAUGUAACUCAGUUUGGUAGAGUCCGUGAUUUGUAAUCUCGAGGUCGUGGGUUCGAUUCCCACCAUCGGCU
RNAcentral lists this transfer RNA (74 nucleotides) under Candidatus Shikimatogenerans bostrichidophilus. Its description in RNAcentral is "tRNA-Thr". It matches the Rfam family "tRNA". From Rfam's summary of the family: Transfer RNA (tRNA) molecules are approximately 80 nucleotides in length. Their secondary structure includes four short double-helical elements and three loops (D, anti-codon, and T loops). Lineage: Bacteria; Pseudomonadati; Bacteroidota; Flavobacteriia; Flavobacteriales. The record is from RNAcentral.